Molecule: ribosomal RNA, 640 nt
Filed under: Cortinarius sp. TSJ2002-024
Lineage: Eukaryota; Fungi; Basidiomycota; Agaricomycetes; Agaricales; Cortinariaceae
Description: eukaryotic LSU rRNA
Rfam family: 5.8S ribosomal RNA (bases 260-413)
Source: RNAcentral
AGGAUCAUUAUUGAAAUAAACCUGAUAAGUUGUUGCUGGUUCUCUAGGGAGCAAUGUGCACGCUUGUCACUUUUAUAUCUUCACCUGUGCACCUUUUGUAGACCUGAAUAUCUCUCUGAAUGCUUAUUUUAUAAGCACUUGGGAUUGAGAAUUGACUUGAUUGUCUCUUCUUGUAUUUUCAGGUCUAUGUUUCUUCAUAUACCCUAAUGUAUGUUUGUAGAAUGCAAUUAAUGGGCCUUUGUGCCUAUAAAMCUUUUACAACUUUCAGCAACGGAUCUCUUGGCUCUCGCAUCGAUGAAGAACGCAGCGAAAUGCGAUAAGUAAUGUGAAUUGCAGAAUUCAGUGAAUCAUCGAAUCUUUGAACGCACCUUGCGCUCCUUGGUAUUCCGAGGAGCAUGCCUGUUUGAGUGUCAUUAAUAUUAUCAACCUUUUUGGUUGGAUGUGGGUUUGCUGGACUCUUGAGAUCAGCUCUCCUUAAAUGCAUUAGCGGACAACAUUUUGCCAACCGUUCAUUGGUGUGAUAAUUAUCUACGCUAUUGACGUGAAGCAAGGUUCAGCUUCUAACAGUCUAUUGACUUGGGACAAGCCUCUUUUCUAUUAAUGUGACCUCAAAUCAGGUAGGACUACCCGCUGAACUUAA